RNAcentral lists this long non-coding RNA (579 nucleotides) under Musa acuminata (dwarf banana). RNAcentral describes it as "long non-coding RNA (MACU_LNC003870)". Lineage: Eukaryota; Viridiplantae; Streptophyta; Magnoliopsida; Zingiberales; Musaceae. The record is from RNAcentral.
UUUCCUAAUCAACUUCUCCUUCUACCAUGUUUGUAUUGUUUUGAAGUCGCUUUCCUGACUUCACAGUUGCUAGGCUUACUGCUUGAGCAGUGGCACACAGUACUGUACCUCAUGUAGCCUCAACCAGCUCUUCCUUUUAUGCGAACCCCCUCUCCCUCUUUUCCCUUCAAGAGAAUUGCACAAGCUUCCCAGCAUCCGUAUCUAAUAAGCAAGCACAAUGGAACGUAUCAUUCCAUUCAUCUACAGAGCUAUAACUCAGCAUGCAAGUGGAGGGGAAGAUUCUUUACAAGGUUCAUGGUUUGAUGAAUCACCUUCAGCUUAUUACAUGCGACUGCUCAGUGAUUCCAGCGGACUCCGGUCAUCUUCGGGUAUCAAAGGCUUCUCGACGUCACCACCAGCACCUGCUCCAGCUGCAACAAAGUUAGUCUGGCGAACCACCUGGCAUCAGCUCGUCCGAAGAUCACAAAGGUGAGCAAGGCCAACCUGGUUGUCUUGGUGCAACUGGAAGAGUCAAGAACAUGCAACUUCUUUCUUGAUGCAGGAACGUAAAAGAAUGUUAAAACAUAGUUGGAUGUCAUG